This is a long non-coding RNA of Strigops habroptila (Kakapo), 1744 nucleotides long. RefSeq lists it as uncharacterized. Lineage: Eukaryota; Metazoa; Chordata; Aves; Psittaciformes; Psittacidae. The record is from RefSeq and is a predicted model, not a curated record. The transcript is spliced from 3 exons.
UGCGCUGUAAAGAGCUAAUAUGGUCUAUGCCUACAGUUUGUUACUGUUAGCCAUAUAAAUAAUAAUAAUUUACACACAACUCACACACUUUUUCGGUAUUUCUGCAAGCAAUCCAGAGGCGACAGGAACAAACUGAUGGAGACAGAAAUGGGAGAAUCCCACCCUGUCAGAAGAUGAAUGAGCUGAGCUUGCAUGAUGUGAACCAUGGCUGACAGAAGCGAGGGGGAAUCAAAGAGUGAGCAACUUUUGACAACACACGCUUCACAGCUCUGACCACUGAGGAUCUACAUGAUUAUCUCCAGACAAAACAACUGUGUCAUUUUUGAGAAGAAACCUGGGAAUGGACUGAGUGUGGUGCAGCCCUGAGACAAGUUCACUUCUUGCUUGCUCUGCUCCCUCCAUCCCUGGAGAUUCAGACACUACCGCCUUGAGAACUUCAGUCUGGCAUGAAGACAAGCUGUGCGCUACCCUACAAACCUUUGUACCCCACAAGAAGGUCCCCUGCCUGGCUUUUUGUUGUAGCCUCAGAGUAGAAACUGAAAGCAAAGAGAAGAGGCAAAGCAGUUUCCUGAUACUUGCUCCAAAAAUAAGCCAAUGAUCUCCCACGAUUGGAAACCAAAAAAGAGAAGAGGAAAUGAGAGAAAUGAAAAUUUACCAACAUCCUCAGAUCUUUGCUACUGCUUUGGUGGUAGCCAGUGGUGACAGGUGACACGACUUCCCCCCAAAAAAAGCAUCCUUACUUGUGUUCAUUUCAAUUGUUCUACUGAUUUAUGGCAGGGGUACCACCCCAAUCCCUUCUGUCCUAUAGACCUUUAAUCAGAAAUUAAAGUCUAGUUUGACACUGGGCUGCUUAAACAUCUCCAUACAGUCUGCAUAUAGGAAGGAAAUAAAGGAGAUAUAGACUUAAAAAUGUAUGCCAGAACUGUUUGGAACUACCUUGUCCCAACAGCUUUUUUGUUAAUGUACAUAACAGGUCUUCACUAUGGCAAUAGGCUUGUUUUUCCUUUAAAGUCUCUCAUUGAAAAUGUACACAUAUGAAAAAUAAAAUAUUUCCCCAAAGCCAGGCAGCACCAGCACCUGGGAAGUGAUGCUCUGGGCAGGCACCUGCCAUCCUGUGGUAUAUCUUCAGUCAUCUACACGCAGACAUAGGGGACAGACUCUCAGCUACCAUAAAUGAAAUAGUUCAACUGUUUUUAUACCAAUUCAAAGAGGAUCUGUUUUGUUUCAGGAAAACAGAAACUGAAUGCAAGAUUUUGGUUUUGCAAGGGAAAGCAAGAAGCGUUUCUUUAACUCUUUCUUUCUGUAUUGAGAGCACCUGCCACUACUGACAGGAACAGCUUCUCACUUUCCUUGCAUUAUAGAUAGCACUCAACCUUAUUCCACUUGCAGCAAGAUAUCAGGAAAGAAAGAAAAAGUACUGCCGAAGGUUCUUGUUUCUCCAGGACAGCUCUCAACAAUCCAAAGAGAAAGUGACACCAAAAAGAUUCUGAAUUGCUGCAGGUAUUACAGGAUCCUGUGAGAAAAAGUCUUCGUUUAAGUGUCCAGUCUCUGAGGUCUCCUGGUCAGCAACUUCUAUAUUCAGAGUCUGUUUCUGUUUUUAAGAAUGAUCUGCAGUCUUUUUAUAAGACCUUUUACAUCUAACUCUAUUGCAUUUUACUAGUUUUCAGGUAUUUGAUAUGUGUUCUUCUUAUUAAUAUAAAAUAUUUUAGGAUUUGUCUACAUUAAAGGUGGUAUAUAAAAUAAA